This is a long non-coding RNA of Orcinus orca (killer whale), 5105 nucleotides long. RefSeq lists it as uncharacterized. NCBI's taxonomy places the organism in Eukaryota, Metazoa, Chordata, Mammalia, Artiodactyla, Delphinidae. The record is from RefSeq and is a predicted model, not a curated record. The transcript has 7 exons.
AACUCACCUAAAAAAAAAAAAAAAAAAAUACACCUCACCUAAAGUGGCAAAAAGAAUGAAAAACAGGGGGGAAAACCCCUUAUAUUCAAUGAAACAAUAAAAUGGCCCCAACUGCAACCUGCCCGAAACUGCCCCAGAUUUCUCUCAAAUGUCCCAAACCUAAAGACUCAUCCUAUAAUUCUUUAGAUUCCCAGGAUAUCUUCUAUGCUAUGACAGGACACAGGUCCCUAAGUGAGGAAUGCCCUAUGCAGACCCAGGUUAAUAGUUCUCACUGGCAGUGAUGCCAUCUCUAAAAGAAAAGUCUCACUGACAUUCCUUUUUUUUUUUUUUUUUGCGAGUUUAAUUCUCUUUUUUAUUGAGAUACAGUUGCUUUACAAUAUUAUAUAAAUUUCAGGUGUACAAGAUAGUGAUUCACAAUUUUUAAAGAUUAUACUCCAUUUAUAGUUAUUAUAAAAUAUUGGCCAUAUUCCCUGUACAGUAUAUCCUUGUAGCCUAUUUAUUUUAAACACAGUGGACUGUACCUCUCACAUAUGAGGAAACUCAGGUCCAGAGAGGUUAAAGUGUCAAAGUUUACCCUGGGAGUAAGGAAGUAAAAGGUAGAGCUGAGAUCAGAGUCUAGGAUAUUCCUCUUGUCUAAAUCCAUCCAAACAGCAGCAGGAUAAAGGAGAGCGGGGAAGCUGUUUUUCACCUACUCAUAACCUAGAAAGGACUUGAUGGACAGCGGCACUAACCCUCAGAGACAAAGGGGAGACAUCCUCCCAGGGCAAAGCAUUAGGUCUCCCACCUCUGGACCUGCCCUCUGGCAGAUUUCAGCAACCACACCCUCCUCGUUCCACCUUGAUGUCCCCGUCCGCACCGCCCCCCUCCCCACCGCUUCUCAGCUCCUGGUCUGAAUCAGUUGGGGCUUCUGAAUUCCUAGGAAUGGCAAGAGGAAGCACUUGGGAAGGAGCAGAGCAGUCAGGGCUGUGAUUUGAAUCCUUCUUCAGCUUUUGGCUUUUCCAUGUAGGUACUAGAAGUAUGAGUCAGGAGGAUACAUGUGCGUAAUCAGAGCUUAAUUGAUUGUCUAACCAGUGGCACAGAUCAGUUCUGAAAUUCUGCAGUACUCAAGCUCUAAAUCCCAAUACUAGAGUUUCUUAUACACUUAACUCUGCCUCCUACAUAAUUCUGAGUAUGAGUCAUCCCCUUUCUCCCUCUCCCAAGCAUCCCUUUCAGUUACACAUCUUUUGGUUCUAACUCAUUUUGCCCCUGCCUAUCCCUGGGUUUAUUAUUUACCAGCAGUUUUCAUUACCAUUUCAGUAUUUCACUGGGGAUGAGAAAAUAUUCCACUGUGAUGCUGAACAACACUGAGCAGAAGUGUCAACCUCCAUGAAUUUUCACUCCACACGAAGGCUGGAGAAAGAUAGAGGGGUCUGCCUGUAGCUGAAAGUGAUGGGUCCACAGCAGGGGCUCUAUAUAUUCCAGUCUCUUUGGUAAUCUGUAUGUUUCAUCAGCCAGGAAUGUUGGCGAUGAGCACCCUUUCAAAGUGGAUGAAGGUGUCCAGAUGGCUGUUUCCUUUCAUUCUGAUUAAAACUGUUAGCUUAACAUAUGCACCAGAGCUCCCAGCCCACCAUAUAAAUUGAGAUAGACUCAGUGAGACUGUGUCCACAGCCAUGAACCUGAAUUGACUCUGUGGAUUGCUCUAGAUCGCUCUCCCCUGUCCACAUUAUUCCUUAGCUAAUAGUUGGCUCCAUUUAAAGAAGACUCACUAUUUCCAUUUUAAAGGGUAGAAAAAAAUACAUCACAAGAAGAAUCAACCCCCAAAAAUUACCAACAGAAAGGAAGAGUUCAGACAAAUAAGUGUACAUAUUUUUAAAGAAAUUGCAUUGUGUUUUCCAAAAGAGAGCUCAAAGGGUUCUGUGAAGAGACUAUAAUACAUCAAGCAGGAAAUGAAUAGUGUGUCAGUAGAAUUUAGGGAAGAACUGCAAGGAAACAAAAUCAUUACAGAGAUGAAGCACACUUCAGAAGUGACAAGAGUAAAGGACACAGUGCUGCAAACACAGCCAGAGGUAAAAGUGGUGAAUAGGCUUGAGGAAUCACAAAGACAAAAAGGAAAAGACAGAGAUAUUAAAAAGGGUAUAUGGGAAUUCCCUGGUGGUCCAGUGGUUAGGACUCAGUGCUUUUACUGCUGAGGGCCCAGGUUCAGUUCCUGGUAGAAGAACUGAGAUCCUACAGUGUGGCCAAAGAAAAAAAAGAAAAGAAAGGUAUAAAAAAAGUGGUCAGAUUGGAAGACAGAGAAAGCAUAAUCAACAAAAGUAGAAUUGAUUUUCUGAAGAAGAGAAAAAUGAAGAGAAAAAGUAUUCCAACAUAUCAUUUAUGCAUUCAAGGAGUAUUGAUUGCAUACUUACAUAACUCUAGACAUAAAGGAAAAAUUAUCGAGUAAAAAUAUAAUAGAAGACAACUUUUUUGAACUAAAUAAAAACAUGAAGUUACAGAUAAAAAAGACACAGUUUAUCCUAGGAAGAGAAAAAUAACAACCUUGAUAGUUAAGGCACAUCUAGGAGAAAUUACUAUAUUUUAGGAAUAAAGGAAAUUCAGUGGUCAGAAAAUUUAGAUCUUAUACAAGGGAAAAAUACGUUUGAUCCCAGCUUUCUUAACGGGACCAGUCAGUGUCUGAAGACAAUGGAACAAUAUCUACCAAUAUCAAGUGGCUUGGUUAUGCAAGUGGAAAGGUGUAAAACAGGCAUUCUAAAUCAUGUGGUAUCUGUGAUCCAAUCUUGAAAAAUCUACAGGAUGACAAAAUGUAGUACAUCAAGAGAUAGAUGAUGUCAUGAUUUGUGGAGUAGCGGUGAAACUCAUGGAAUUAGAGACCAAACAGCUGUGAGGAAUAUGACCACAGAACAGACUGUAAUAUUAUAAACUUUGACAAUGUAAAAUAAUUAUGUAACUAAUAAAAAGUGGGAAUUGAGGGAGGGAUGGUGGGAGAAAGUAUGGUGUUAAUUUCCAUAUCUUUCAAGAAGGGAACGACUAGGCAUUAACUAAACUUAAAAUAAGUAAUUAAGAAAGAAUCUUAGCAUAGUUAAAAAAAAUAACUCUAUGUCUUUUUGUUUGGGUUCCUUUUUAUAAAUUAACUCUCAGAAAUAUUGAUUUGAGAUUUAGUAAUUUUUCAGUUCUUUGGUAACUUCCGGCAAAUUUCAAGAACACUGAAUUUAUAGUGAAAAAUUUUAUCUUGCUUAAGAGAUAGGUUUUAACAUGAUCCCAGAAUGUGAAUAUUACAUGUAAUCAAAAUUUUCUUUGAAAAUCUCAGAAAGUGUGUGGCAGUGAAGGCCACUUUUGCUUAGUAAGUUCAGCACGGCCAAUUUAAUCUCCAGCUUUGGAAGAAAUCAUUGUUUCCUCAUUAGAGUACUGGGUAAGGUAGUAAGUUUGUGUUUGGAGGCAUAUUAUGCAAACAGUAUGUCCUCUUGAAUGCCAAAGCUCGUAUUCAGUUCAGCGAGAUACUUGCACUACGGAGGUACAUUGUCCUUGACUGUGAAUGAGGAACAGAUAGAAAUGUCUCUCAUGCUCCUUAAGUGAAAGGGAAGGUAAGUUGAAAUGUCUGUACUAUGUAAAUUUUUAAUUUUCCUCUCUGUCUCUUUCUCUCUCUUUAUAUAAGUGUAUGGUUGUAUAUGUGUAAGUGAAAGAAAUGCUUAGUGUUGACUUUAAAAAAAGCGUAAGAUUUGUGAGUUUAAGUUUUAUUCAGGGUCUUGCUGAGGACUAGAGCCUGAGAGUCAGCUACUCAGUAGCUCUGAGGAAACUGCUCCAAGAAGGUAGGGGAGGAACGAGUUUAUAUAUGAUUUUUGGUUAGGAAAUUCAUGCCGUCAAGCGUACAUCUUAGUAAAAGAUUGCUGCUAAUCGUGAGGAACAGAUAUCUCAGAUGAAUGAUUUUAGUGCUUUUCUGUGUAUGGGAAGAUGUGAGAAUCUGGGGUAAUUGAAAUUCUUCCUGAAGUAUGCAUCUAACUAUUGAAGGGCUUGCUUCUCAGGAAGCACAGAGUGCCUCGUCGUGUUUUUCAUCCUGAAUUCCUUUCUGGGUUUGCUGUUGGUGGUCAGCUGCAGUGGGUUCUGACUUAGCCCUUGUAGAACUGAGUGCAGUACUUGGAAGAGCCAGGUCUGUCUCCACAGGCCGUAUCCAUGAGAAGAUGCCGGAGCUGUCCAUCACGACAAACUCUCCCUGCUCACCAGCAAAGGCUGCAGCCAAGAUUGAUGUCAAAGUCCCCCGUCUGUUAAGAGUGGAGUUGAGGCCUGGAGGAGGAGGGCAGUCAGCAUAAAACUUCUACUCUGAGAGGAGGCUGGAACACAGUGGCUAAACUCAGGAAUUCUGAAGCUGGAAUGCCUGAGUCCAAACGUUCGGCUCUGCCUCUAACCAGCUGUGUGACCUUGGCAAGUUACUUAACCUCUCUGUGCUUCAAUAUUCUCCUCUAUAAAAUGUGGAUGAUAAGAAGAGUACCUACCUCAUUGUUGCCCUGUGAAGACUAAAGGAGUUAAAACAUGCACUGUGCCAAGAGCGGGAGUUAGCAUGGUAAACAAGAAACAGACAAACACAGGAGAUUUAGGAGCAGGGGCCAGCAUGACACCCUACAUCGCCAGGAUUAGCUGCAUCUCCACAGACACUGGUAGAGAGUGCCUAGGAGCCUGUCUGCACCAACACUUGCAUCGUAGAACUGUGAGUUCCCAUGAGUCCAGAAGUGGUAGCUGGGCUACUCAGUCAGCAGUUUCUACCAUCUAAUAGCAGCAAAAUCCAGAAGGAUGAGGACUCAAAUGACAUGGAACUGAAGAUCUUGUCCAACCUUCUGAUUAUGAUUUGAUUUUCCUUGUACACUUUCCUGUAGAGAUACAAAGAUCUAUCCAUACAGGCUUAAAUAUUUCAGUACUUACAUAUUAUAUUUCUCAAAAUAAAUUAACAAAAAUGCACAGUCUGAUCUUAUACAUCAGGCUUGUGAGUUUGUAAGUCUGCCCCAAGCAAUGAAUUUACAUUCAUGUGCCCUUAAUGUCAGAUUUCUGAACCUUGCAGGAGUAAAAUCAACAUAUCCACAUUCUAAUUCCUGAAUCUAUGUUACCUUAUAUGGCAAAAGGGACAUUUCACAUGCUACUAA